RNAcentral lists this ribosomal RNA (1858 nucleotides) under Triticum aestivum (bread wheat). RNAcentral describes it as "partial small subunit ribosomal RNA". Lineage: Eukaryota; Viridiplantae; Streptophyta; Magnoliopsida; Poales; Poaceae. The record is from RNAcentral.
GAAGAAGUGCAUAGAGCAGGGAAAACCCUCGUUCGCCCAUUCCGCUCCUCUCGCCCCCACCCGCCGUCUUCCCAUGGCCUCCGCCUCCGCCGCCGCCGCCGCCACCCGGGCGAACAGCCUCUCCCGCAUCUUCUCCUCCUCCUCGCCAACCGUCAAACUACCCAAGCGCAAUCCCAAGACCAAGCGCGCGCCGGCGCCGCCGCCGAAACCGUCCGCCGCCGAUGCUGACUCCAUCGCGGGACAGAAGCUCCCGGAGCCCCUCGGCGUACAUCCCGCCGCCAAAGCUGAGUCCGAUGCGGACCACAAGCUCCCGAAGCCCCUUGACGAUAUCCUCAUUGCCCUCAUCCGGCAGCGCAACCCUGAUAAGCUGGUCUCCGAGUUCGUCCAAGCGUCAACCGUGUCGUCGCGCUUCCGCGAGCGGCACCGCGUGUACGAGGUAGCGGUGAGCCGCCUCACUUCCUUCGGCCGCCAAGACGGCAUCGAGGCCAUCAUCGAAGCGCAGAAGCCCUUCCUCGAGACCUCAGACGAGGGAUUCGCCGCGCGCCUCAUCCGCCUCUACGGCCGUGCCUCCAUGCCAUCCCACGCUACCGCAACCUUCCAUGAACUUCCCGCGCAGCAUAAAUCCACCAUGACAUUCAACGCCCUUCUUGCAGCGUACGCCGAAGCCGGGGAUUUCGAUGGGCUCACUGCUGCAUUCCAGGAGAUCCCAGCCACCCACCCCUCGGUUGUUCCCAGCGUAUACUCUUACAACAUACUCAUCCGCUCAUUGUGCCAGAAGCCUGACCUCUCAGCUGCUCUUGAUGUUGUUCUUCUCAUGGAGAAGCACGGUGUUUCAGCUGACAUUAUUACUUUCAACACUCUGUUGAAUGGGUUUUGUAACAAUGGCCCCACGGAUGAAGCAGAGACAGUAUGGGAGAUGAUGAAGGAGAGGAAUUUGGAGCCAGAUGCAAAGUGCUACAAUGCCAAGCUGCGGGGUUUGGUUGCAGAAGGGAGGAUUGAUGAUGCAGCUGCUGUGCUUGAGGGAUUGGAGAAGGACGGGCCAAAACCCGAUACGGUGUCCUACAAUGAGUUGAUUCGAGGAUAUUGCAAAGCGGGGAGGUUACAGGAGGCCAAGAAGCUGUAUGAUGAUUUGGCAAAAAAUCACUGUGCCGCAAAUAAGGGAACAUAUGAGACUCUCGUGCCACACCUUCUGCAGGCUGGAGACCUGGAUUGUGCACUGAGGUACUGCUAUGAAAUGUUUAGUGGUAAAAGGAGCGGUAGAGUGGAGUGUGGUGUGCUGCAGGAUGUAGUGAAUGCAUUGGUAGAUGCAUCGAGGGUGGAGGAGGCUGGCAAGCUUGUUGAUAUCGGGCGGAAGAAACACGAAAGGGUUUGAGGAUGCGAGGUAGUGCAAAAGGCAGUGAAUUAAGAGCUGAAACUGAUGAGUAAGAAGCAAUAUCAGAAGAAAAGGAGUGUGAUGUGGAACACAAGACUGAAAAGUAAAAUUCAUUGGUCAGGCUUUGACUGAUGCAUGCCAAAUUUCACCAUGACUUGUUUUACUCAGUUUCUCUGUUUGCAUGAUAGAACAAGAAGUGCAAGUUAAAGUAGUGGUUUAACUAGUUUAAUAAGGUAUUGGUUUAGCUUGCCCUGUGAUUUAAUACUUAUUGAAAAUCUUUUUUUCCAUUUUAGAAGAGAUCCACAGGAAGUCUUUAUUCUUACCUGCAAUGUCUUGCUUGUGCUGAUUUUUCUUCUUGCAUAAGUGCAAGUUAAAGCAGUGGUUUAACUAGUUUAAUAAGGUAUUGGUUUAGCUUGCCCUGUGAUGUAAUACUUAUUGAAAAUCUUUUUUUCCAUUUUAGAAGAGAUCCACAGGAAGUCUUUAUUC